UGAUAGUGAUAGGGAUAAUUUCUGAGCAUUUCUUUGAAUCCCUCCCAAGCUUGGUAGAGAUUUUCUCUAUCUUCUGUCUGAAACUCAAUAUCUCACUCCUCAAUUG
Molecule: small nucleolar RNA, 106 nt
Organism: Capsicum annuum
Lineage: Eukaryota; Viridiplantae; Streptophyta; Magnoliopsida; Solanales; Solanaceae
Source: RefSeq, a predicted model, not a curated record